AGUGGCGGACGGGUGAGUAACGCGUGGGUAACCUGCCCUGUACAGGGGGACAACAGUUAGAAAUGACUGCUAAUACCGCAUAAGCGCACAGGACCGCAUGGUCCGGUGUGAAAAACUCCGGUGGUAUGAGAUGGACCCGCGUCUGAUUAGCUAGUUGGUGGGGUAAAGGCCUACCAAGGCGACGAUCAGUAGCCGACCUGAGAGGGUGAUCGGCCACAUUGGGACUGAGACACGGCCCAAACUCCUACGGAAGGCAGCAG
This 260-nucleotide ribosomal RNA is filed under the name uncultured bacterium. RNAcentral describes it as "partial 16S ribosomal RNA". It matches the Rfam family "Bacterial small subunit ribosomal RNA", at positions 94 to 354 of the family's 1533-position model. The record is from RNAcentral.